ACGAUGUUUUUGUCUGCUCCAGA
Molecule: microRNA, 23 nt
Filed under: Branchiostoma floridae (Florida lancelet)
Lineage: Eukaryota; Metazoa; Chordata; Leptocardii; Amphioxiformes; Branchiostomatidae
Also listed under: 2 other names
Description: bfl-miR-4857
Source: miRBase by way of RNAcentral